This 1144-nucleotide ribosomal RNA is filed under the name Acinetobacter baumannii 44467_9. RNAcentral describes it as "bacterial SSU rRNA". It matches the Rfam family "Bacterial small subunit ribosomal RNA", at positions 8 to 1147 of the family's 1533-position model. The record is from RNAcentral. Lineage: Bacteria; Pseudomonadati; Pseudomonadota; Gammaproteobacteria; Moraxellales; Moraxellaceae.
AGAGUUUGAUCAUGGCUCAGAUUGAACGCUGGCGGCAGGCUUAACACAUGCAAGUCGAGCGGGGGAAGGUAGCUUGCUACUGGACCUAGCGGCGGACGGGUGAGUAAUGCUUAGGAAUCUGCCUAUUAGUGGGGGACAACAUCUCGAAAGGGAUGCUAAUACCGCAUACGUCCUACGGGAGAAAGCAGGGGAUCUUCGGACCUUGCGCUAAUAGAUGAGCCUAAGUCGGAUUAGCUAGUUGGUGGGGUAAAGGCCUACCAAGGCGACGAUCUGUAGCGGGUCUGAGAGGAUGAUCCGCCACACUGGGACUGAGACACGGCCCAGACUCCUACGGGAGGCAGCAGUGGGGAAUAUUGGACAAUGGGGGGAACCCUGAUCCAGCCAUGCCGCGUGUGUGAAGAAGGCCUUAUGGUUGUAAAGCACUUUAAGCGAGGAGGAGGCUACUUUAGUUAAUACCUAGAGAUAGUGGACGUUACUCGCAGAAUAAGCACCGGCUAACUCUGUGCCAGCAGCCGCGGUAAUACAGAGGGUGCGAGCGUUAAUCGGAUUUACUGGGCGUAAAGCGUGCGUAGGCGGCUUAUUAAGUCGGAUGUGAAAUCCCCGAGCUUAACUUGGGAAUUGCAUUCGAUACUGGUGAGCUAGAGUAUGGGAGAGGAUGGUAGAAUUCCAGGUGUAGCGGUGAAAUGCGUAGAGAUCUGGAGGAAUACCGAUGGCGAAGGCAGCCAUCUGGCCUAAUACUGACGCUGAGGUACGAAAGCAUGGGGAGCAAACAGGAUUAGAUACCCUGGUAGUCCAUGCCGUAAACGAUGUCUACUAGCCGUUGGGGCCUUUGAGGCUUUAGUGGCGCAGCUAACGCGAUAAGUAGACCGCCUGGGGAGUACGGUCGCAAGACUAAAACUCAAAUGAAUUGACGGGGGCCCGCACAAGCGGUGGAGCAUGUGGUUUAAUUCGAUGCAACGCGAAGAACCUUACCUGGCCUUGACAUACUAGAAACUUUCCAGAGAUGGAUUGGUGCCUUCGGGAAUCUAGAUACAGGUGCUGCAUGGCUGUCGUCAGCUCGUGUCGUGAGAUGUUGGGUUAAGUCCCGCAACGAGCGCAACCCUUUUCCUUACUUGCCAGCAUUUCGGAUGGGAACUUUAAGGAU